AAAUUGAAAAGGCAAACUUAUCGAAAGGUAAGGACGCAAAGCUACGAGUCUAAAAUCCUCCAGGGUAAUGACAGUCGGGUUGCCAAG
This 87-nucleotide non-coding RNA is filed under the name Bacillus sp. (in: firmicutes). Its description in RNAcentral is "Bacillus sp. c-di-GMP sequence". It matches the Rfam family "c-di-GMP-I riboswitch aptamer". Rfam says of the family: GEMM was predicted in a large-scale screen for bacterial structured RNA regulatory elements. The record is from RNAcentral. Lineage: Bacteria; Bacillati; Bacillota; Bacilli; Caryophanales; Bacillaceae.